UACAGGGGGGGCAAGCGUUGUUCGGAAUUACUGGGCGUAAAGGGCUCGUAGGCGGCCGGCUAAGUCCGACGUGAAAUCCCCAGGCUUAACCUGGGAACUGCGUCGGAUACUGGCGGGCUUGAGUCCGGGAGAGGGAUGCGGAAUUCCAGGUGUAGCGGUGAAAUGCGUAGAUAUCUGGAGGAACACCGGUGGCGAAGGCGGCAUCCUGGACCGGCAUUGACGCUGAAUAGCGAAAGCCAGGGGAGCAAACGGG
Molecule: ribosomal RNA, 253 nt
Filed under: uncultured bacterium
Lineage: Bacteria
Description: partial 16S ribosomal RNA
Rfam family: Bacterial small subunit ribosomal RNA
Source: RNAcentral